RNAcentral lists this long non-coding RNA (427 nucleotides) under Homo sapiens (human). RNAcentral's name for it is "HSALNT0137323". Lineage: Eukaryota; Metazoa; Chordata; Mammalia; Primates; Hominidae. The record is from RNAcentral.
CAUAAACAUAUAAGAAUGUAUCAUAGCCACAUGAAAAAUAGUGAAUAACUUAACAGUUAUUUUUUCUACUUGAUCCAACAAGUGUUCAGCGUGCAGGAAAUAGAUCGAUAGCAUAUACCACUCAUUGUGUCUCCAAACUUGCUUACAUCAUGCAUUUAAUGGGAAGUUUUCUUCUUGUGAUGCAGCCUUGUGAGGAAGAUACUUGUCUGUCUCGUGUGACUAUGGUUUGUCUCCAGCCUCCCCUCACCUCUGGAAGUUACGAUCCUAGCAAGGGACAUUCACCAAAAGUAAAAGCAAGAAGUGAGUCACAGAAAAACCAGAGGGUGAGUGAGAUGAAUGUAUAAAAGCAUGAACUUUUGACCUAAGCAUUUUGGUGUUUAAGCUGGGCUAGAACUACAUCCUCAGAUGAUGUAUUCUAUGUUUUUGC